GAUGAACGCUGGCGGCGUGCCUAAUACAUGCAAGUCGAGCGAACGGAUGAGAAGCUUGCUCCUCUGACGUUAGCGGCGGACGGGUGAGUAACACGUGGAUAACCUACCUAUAAGACUGGGAUAACUUCGGGAAACCGGAGCUAAUACCGGAUAAUAUAUUGAACCGCAUGGUUCAAUAGUGAAAGACGGUUUUGCUGUCACUUAUAGAUGGAUCCGCGCUGCAUUAGCUAGUUGGUAAGGUAACGGCUUACCAAGGCAACGAUGCAUAGCCGACCUGAGAGGGUGAUCGGCCACACUGGAACUGAGACACGGUCCAGACUCCUACGGGAGGCAGCAGUAGGGAAUCUUCCGCAAUGGGCGAAAGCCUGACGGAGCAACGCCGCGUGAGUGAUGAAGGUCUUCGGAUCGUAAAACUCUGUUAUUAGGGAAGAACAUAUGUGUAAGUAACUAUGCACAUCUUGACGGUACCUAAUCAGAAAGCCACGGCUAACUACGUG
This 497-nucleotide ribosomal RNA is filed under the name uncultured bacterium. RNAcentral's name for it is "partial 16S ribosomal RNA". It matches the Rfam family "Bacterial small subunit ribosomal RNA", at positions 28 to 507 of the family's 1533-position model. The record is from RNAcentral.